AACGCGAAGAACCUUACCUGGGCUCGAAAUGUAGUGGAAUAGGGUGGAAACAUCCUAGUCUCGCAAGAGACUGCUAUAUAGGUGCUGCAUGGCUGUCGUCAGCUCGUGUCGUGAGAUGUUGGGUUAAGUCCCGCAACGAGCGCAACCCUCAUCCCUAGUUGCCAUCGGGUCAAGCCGGGCACUCUAGUGAAACCGCCCCGGAUAACGGGGAGGAAGGUGGGGAUGACGUCAAGUCCUCAUGGCCUUUAUGUCCAGGGCUACACACGUGCUACAAUGGUCGGUACAAACCGUCGCGAAACUGCAAAGUAGAGCUAAUCGGAAAAAGCCGGCCUCAGUUCGGAUUGGAGUCUGCAACUCGACUCCAUGAAGCUGGAAUCGCUAGUAAUCGCAGAUCAGAACGCUGCGGUGAAUACGUUCCCGGGCCUUGUACACACCGGAGUGC
Molecule: ribosomal RNA, 442 nt
Filed under: uncultured bacterium
Lineage: Bacteria
Description: bacterial SSU rRNA
Rfam family: Bacterial small subunit ribosomal RNA
Source: RNAcentral